Molecule: non-coding RNA, 247 nt
Organism: Macaca mulatta (Rhesus monkey)
Lineage: Eukaryota; Metazoa; Chordata; Mammalia; Primates; Cercopithecidae
Source: RefSeq, a predicted model, not a curated record
UAGAUAAGAAAGCAAACUCGAUGCCAUGACUAACAUGCGGGAGCAGCUGCACCCCUUGGUAAGAUGCUGUGUACGUGUGUGAAGAAGCUGAAGGAGAAGAUAAAGCAGGAAUUGGAAGAACAGCCAGUGACAAUGUCACACAAAGCCAGAGGUCACUGCGACCAAAAUGUACCCUUCCCUGCUGAGAAAAAUAAAAACUGGAAGGAGGAAAACAGAUUUUUAACAUUCUUCUCUGAAGGCUACGAAA